UGAGUUUGAUCCUGGCUCAGAUUGAACGCUGGCGGCAGGCCUAACACAUGCAAGUCGGACGGUAGCACAGAGGAGCUUGCUCCUCGGGUGACGAGUGGCGGACGGGUGAGUAAUGUCUGGGGAUCUGCCCGAUAGAGGGGGAUAACCACUGGAAACGGUGGCUAAUACCGCAUAACGUCGCAAGACCAAAGAGGGGGACCUUCGGGCCUCUCACUAUCGGAUGAACCCAGAUGGGAUUAGCUAGUAGGCGGGGUAACGGCCCACCUAGGCGACGAUCCCUAGCUGGUCUGAGAGGAUGACCAGCCACACUGGAACUGAGACACGGUCCAGACUCCUACGGGAGGCAGCAGUGGGGAAUAUUGCACAAUGGGCGCAAGCCUGAUGCAGCCAUGCCGCGUGUAUGAAGAAGGCCUUCGGGUUGUAAAGUACUUUCAGCGGGGUGGAAGGCGAUGUGGUUAAUAACCGCGUCGAUUGACGUUACCCGCAGAAGAAGCACCGGCUAACUCCGUGCCAGCAGCCGCGGUAAUACGGAGGGUGCAAUCGUUAAUCGGAAUUACUGGGCGUAAAGCGCACGCAGGCGGUCUGUUAAGUCAGAUGUGAAAUCCCCGGGCUUAACCUGGGAACUGCAUUUGAAACUGGCAGGCUUGAGUCUCGUAGAGGGGGGUAGAAUUCCAGGUGUAGCGGUGAAAUGUGUAGAGAUCUGGAGGAAUACCGGUGGCGAAGGCGGCCCCCUGGACGAAGACUGACGCUCAGGUGUGAAAGCGUGGGGAGCAAACAGGAUUAGUUACCCUGGUAGUCCACGCCGUAAACGAUGUCGACUUGGAGGUUGUUCCCUUGAGGAGUGGCUUCCGGAGCUAACGCGUUAAGUCGACCGCCUGGGGAGUACGGCCGCAAGGUUAAAACUCAAAUGAAUUGACGGGGGCCCGCACAAGCGGUGGAGCAUGUGGUUUAAUUCGAUGCAACGCGAAGAACCUUACCUAUUCUUGACAUCCUCGGAAUUUGGCAGAGAUGCCUUAGUGCCUUCGGGAACCGUGAGACAGGUGCUGCAUGGCUGUCGUCAGCUCGUGUUGUGAAAUGUUGGGUUAAGUCCCGCAACUAGCGCAACCCUUAUCCUUUGUUGCCAGCGAUUCGGUCGGGAACUCAAAGGAGACUGCCGGUGAUAAACCGGAGGAAGGUGGGGAUGACGUCAAGUCAUCAUGGCCCUUACGAGUAGGGCUACACACGUGCUACAAUGGCGCAUACAAAGAGAAGCGACCUCGCGAGAGCAAGCGGACCUCAUAAAGUGCGUCGUAGUCCGGAUCGGUGUCUGCAACUCGACUCCGUGAAGUCGGAAUCGCUAGUAAUCGUGGAUCAGAAUGCCACGGUGAAUACGUUCCCGGGCCUUGUACACACCGCCCGUCACACCAUGGGAGUGGGUUGCAAAAGAAGUAGGUAGCUUAACCUUCGGGAGGGCGCUUACCACUUUGUGAUUCAUGACUGGGGUGAAGUCGUAACAAGGUAGCCGAU
RNAcentral lists this ribosomal RNA (1506 nucleotides) under bacterium YCT65. RNAcentral describes it as "bacterial SSU rRNA". It matches the Rfam family "Bacterial small subunit ribosomal RNA". The record is from RNAcentral.